CCCCGACUGGAGAGAGGAGGGCAGUGACCUCAGGGGGCCACUCAGCUUCCUUAUUUCCCAGUCAUGACACCUCCCCUCAGGGAGUGACCAGGAGAAAAAGUCCCGCCUCCAAAGCUGGAGGAGCUAAGAGGCCAACGCGUGGACAGACAGCCGAAAAGGCACCGUGAAGAAGAACUUCCUCUGCUGGAAGUUGCUGCAGGAGCACUGAGGGGACCCGGCGCAGGGACACCUGGCGGGACGGUGGGCAGUGGCAGGCCCGCAGCUGGUGCUGGAGGUGGCCGGGCCGCCGGGUAGGCUGCAGCCGUGGGCACACGCUGGUCCAGCGCCCACACAAAGCAGUACGUUAGGAGGUGGCUGACGCUACCCAGGCCUCCAAAUUCCCUUGGCCACGUGGGCAGCACCAAGCUGCUUGACGGUGGUUGUAGAGACCCAGGAGCUGAUCCGUUUGAAGCAGCCAAGCCCUGCUCGGCACCCUGGUCCAGGCCAUCCGUGAGGCUCUGGCAGCAGCAGGUUCCCUUCCUCCCGAGCAGCUGAUGGUCCCCAAGCCCCAGGCUUUGGUCACCCAGCCCAAUCGUGGCUUCUCUUCUCAACCGUCCGCAUCCUGGAUGGUGCAGGGAACCCGCAUGCCCUUCCUACUACGUGACCUGGCCUCUGCCUCCCCAAAGCUUGGGAUGUUCACCUUUAAUGCAGGAGGACACGCCUCUGACUCGUGGUGCCUAGCUCGUGACGGGGAAGCCCAUGACAGCGUCCUGCCCGGGCCUCUGUGCCUCUGCACCUCUGCCUGGAUGGAGUCCCAGCUGUCAUUCAAGUCUCAGCUCACCUGGAGCCAUUUCUGCAGGGACCGUCCCCCUGCCCUGGCUGUCUCGUUCUUCCCUGCUUCCCUUGCCCUAGUGACCUGCACUUGAGGGGGUGGGGCCGGUGUGGGUGUCGGGUGUCCAGUCCCCACACGGGGCCAGGCCCUCUGCAUGCACUACCUCACUUGGUCCCUUCACUGACCCUAUGGGGUAGGUAGAGACUUUGAUCCUUCUCUUGCCGUAGAUGAGAACACUGAGGUUCAGGGAGCUUGGGUAAUUUGUCCAGAGUCACACAGCAAGUAAGUGGUUGAACUGACUUGAACUCAAGUCUUCCAGAUACCAAGGUACAUGUUUUGCUCUACUUUCAAAUAUAACCUACAUAUACGUUAAAAUGAGGUCCAUCUUCUCUCAGUUCCUGACCUGUGGACAGAGAAUCCAUGGUGCUGAGAAGAACUCCCUUCCCUAGAAUUAUCCACUUUUCCUUUUUAGCACAGCACCACAUGUAGGUAAUUCGACUGUUCUCCUCCAACACAUGACACACCUGAACACUCCAGAAACUGCUUCCUCCAGAGACGGAGAGCGGAGACUGUUUUCUCCUUACCAGAAAGCCUCAAAUAUUUCCACCUCGGGGUCAGCCGUGAGGCAUGUGGGAUCUUAGCUCCCUGAACAGGGAUCGAACCUGCACUCGUGGCACUGGAAUGCGAAGUCUUAACCACUGGACCGCCAGGGAAGUCCCCUAAAUGUCUUUAAAAAUGGAAUCAGUAGUGGGAUCUUAGUUCCCCGACCACGCAGUGGAAGCGCGGAGUCCUAACCAUUGGACCGCCAGGGAAUUCCCGACACUGCACCUUAUUUAAAAUGAGCGAACGGAGGCUCACGAAGGUUUUUGCUUUACGCAAGAAAGAGUCAAUCCCAAACAAUCCCAUGUCAGAGACGGAUAUCCAAGCUGGCAGGUCUGGGGAUGUGUAACGUGAAUACAGAAGGGCAAGGAGGAGGGACCACGAAGGCCUGGAAGGGACCCAGAGGCGGCCGGGGCCUGCCUUCUGCGUCUGCCGCCUGCACCCACUGCGGGUGGGGCCCCGUGCCAUCCAUUUCACUCUCAUGUUUACUACAGCAAGAAAAUGCUCCUCUACUCAGCCGACAAGACCCAGAACCUCGCCAACCUGCCAGGCUUUGGGAAGCCGUGUGCCGCUGGGUGGCCAAUCCCGCCUCGAGCACCUGAGUUAUAGGCCUCGAGGCUCCUCUGCCCCAGCUCCAGUCGACAGCAGCCCUGCCCCAGCCUUAGCCACCAGACCGAGUCCUGGUCCCUCUGCUGGGUCCUCUCCACCCUGCUGACACUGACACUUUCAUGUGAGUGUUUGCUGAUAUUCACAGCAUCUCUGGUCUGAUCUAUGCCGGGUCAUACACUCCUUCGUUCAUUCAGCAAACACUGGUGAUGCCUCUACUCUCUGCUCAGGCCUGGGCUGCACAGCAAGGAGAAGGCUGUGGGGCUGAGGGAGAAGCGAGCACAGGACACCGUAAGUCAGUUUCCGUUGCCUCCAACCAAAGGAAGAGGUACCCCUCAGGGUACAAGUACUAGGACAAAGCUGAGCGCUUCACGGGGCUGCUUAAGGGGGCUGGGGGGACAGGUCCCUCGGCCGUCAGGAUGCCAGUGCCUAUGUCCGUGCAUUGCUCCUUGUACAGGACCUGACCCAAGCUUAAUGCACGAUUAGCAACCUUCACCGCUACAUACUUACGAUCCUAAUAAUAACCUUCACAUCUAAACCUUCUGAAAGCACACAGAAAGGUGACACUGUGAGCUAAACAUAACUCAGAAAAUAUAUAAAGCAGAAACGGAUGAGAAACGCUCUCUUAAAGAACACGCCUGGAAGCACGGCUGUCAGAGGAGACGGUGCUUUAGCGUCCAUCCUGGGUGCCUUUCUUAGCAACCAGGCCCUGUUUUGCCCGAACCAGCAAACACGCAGCAAACAAGUUAGAUCUCCUGCCUCCCUUGCAGCUGGGCUUGGCCGUGUGAUGCUGUCCUGGAACCUGCGGUGUAGCUGCAACACGACGGGGAGCUCUGUACUGCCUCCUGCUGAGCCCGGGAGCUGGAGCCGGUACCCGUGGGCAUGAAAGCCAUGCAGUGAGAACAGCUGAGCAAAGCUACAGAGGGAGCCUUGGGCGUGGAUGGCACAGUGGUGUCCCGAAGCCGCCUCGGCCUUCUCAUGUCACGGGAGAAAAAUAAACCUUUGUUUGUUAA
This is a long non-coding RNA of Lagenorhynchus albirostris (white-beaked dolphin), 3030 nucleotides long. RefSeq lists it as uncharacterized. NCBI's taxonomy places the organism in Eukaryota, Metazoa, Chordata, Mammalia, Artiodactyla, Delphinidae. The record is from RefSeq and is a predicted model, not a curated record. The transcript has 5 exons.